UACGUAGGGUGCAAGCGUUGUCCGGAAUUAUUGGGCGUAAAGGGCUCGUAGGCGGUUCGUCACGUCGGGAGUGAAAACUCGGAGCUCAACUCCGAGCCUGCUUCCGAUACGGGCAGACUAGAGGUAGGCAGGGGAGAGCGGAACUCCUGGUGUAGCGGUGGAAUGCGCAGAUAUCAGGAAGAACACCGGUGGCGAAGGCGGCUCUCUGGGCCUUACCUGACGCUGAGGAGCGAAAGCGUGGGUAGCGAACAGG
This 253-nucleotide ribosomal RNA is filed under the name uncultured bacterium. Its description in RNAcentral is "partial 16S ribosomal RNA". It matches the Rfam family "Bacterial small subunit ribosomal RNA", at positions 524 to 776 of the family's 1533-position model. The record is from RNAcentral.